This is a long non-coding RNA of Esox lucius (northern pike), 1107 nucleotides long. The record is from Ensembl. Lineage: Eukaryota; Metazoa; Chordata; Actinopteri; Esociformes; Esocidae.
CGCCGUCCAAGUGCUGCAAUAAGCGCCGUCAUUUACAGCGUCUUCACUGACUCAUGUCGCGGUCCAAAACGCCGUUGCCCCUGUACUACACGGCGUUUGCGACGCUGUUGUUGAUGUCUAUAAGCGUCCUAACGUAAGGCGUUCAUUAUCACUUAACGCGGUUAUUAACGCCUGUUUGGUUUCAAUUCCUUAUUUGGAUUUUGCAUCAAUCACAUGGCUAGAUUUCAACCAAUCGCUGAGGAGAACAACUUUGAAACACGGAAAAAUAACAACAGCAGCAAGUUAAACGGCACUAUCUGUAAAUAUGUUGCCUGUUGGGCAUUUUCUUAUGACAUAGGCUUACAAAAUGUAAUAAGAUUGUUUUAGAGCUGUGUAUUACUCGCUAGAUGUUGUGUUAGUAAUGAAGCUAAAAUGAUAUUUUCACUUUGAAGUUCUACAUCGAACGGCAGCAACUUUUAUCUAACUACAGCUGGUUAGCUCGCUAGCUUGAUGGUUACUUUUGUGCCAUUUUUGACAUCCCAGUUUACUUGGUCUGACUCGCCUGUUACUGUACAGUACAUCAUUUCCAACACAUUGUUCUAAAAGACGGUGUUGCAUCCAAUUAUGGAUCUAUUAGGCUUCCUCACAUCUCUGGGGUUGAAGGACAGAACCUUGGGCAAACGCUUUCCUAUACUUCCCUCUACAAGUCAGGAGGAUCAUCAACACACAAGCCAACUUCCUGGACAUACAUGUUUGAGUCAUUGGCCCUUUGGAUGGUCAACAAGAACUUUGCAGAAGUUUCUACUCAGUGACAUUGAACCAGAGAAGCUCUUCCAUUCCCCAAUCCUUUCCAAACAAGAGACUGCUCACUUAAAUCUCAUGGCGGUGUAUUUAAUGACACAACUACUUAUUAUUUUUAGCAGGAUGCAUUGGCCACACAGAAUCAACUCUUCACAAGUAUGUGCAUUGGAACUUAAAUCAUUAGAAUCAACUAACAGGCAUGGGGGUCUAUGAUGUAAAUAGUCGAGGAAGUGUCUUGUUGUUAUACUUUUUAGAGAUGUUAAUACAAUUCUUAAUGUUGUCAAGUUAACAGUUCCACAAUAAAGUAUUCCUGAAGUAGGGGCCAGC